CGCUCUUCCGAUUUCUCCCCUCAUAUUCUAUGCUCAUUUAGGUCAGUCUGCUUCCUGGACUCUGUAGAGUGUCCUAUACGGCACGAACUUACUUUAACUUUACAGUAGUCUUACAUUUGAUCCAUACUGCUGUUUUAAAAAGAGAAAAUUUACUCUUCCAGCUUAAUUUUAGAGUAACUGGGCCAAGCCAAUGCUCCCUGCCAAGAGCACGUCACUCCUGCAGGGAGCUGCAGUCCACGCACUUAGCUUGGCAAGACAAUGGCUACAGGCAAGGUUCUCCGGUUCUCCGGUUCUCCAUGAAGGUGCUGUUCUGUCUGCUUCCUACGGAAUCUAUUCCUGCUCCUUUAUGUUGUCACCAUUAUUUUUACUGAUCCUGAGGUCAUCGGGAUGGAUCAACUGUUCUCAAAAAGAGUUCCAGCCCCACGGAGACCAUGCUCUGUUUCCCACAAAGGCUCAGGGGUUCCAGUGGCAGCAAGAUUUACUGCAAUGAUCAGGACGGUCUCUGAAAACAAAGAAUCCCAGCCAAUUUUCAAGUGUCCUGUCAGAAUUCAUGGUUCUAAUUUCUUUAUCCUUCAUGACGACGUCACCCAGAAUUCUAAGAAUGCUGCUGAAGUACAACGGUGCCGGCCAGCAUCCCUAUCCUGAGGUUUCAACAGUGAAUCGCGUUCAAGAUCUUCUAGACCUAGUCUGUUAGUAGUUACAUCUGGAAUGAAGGUGAAAUUUCAUCAAGUCUUUCCGAUA
Leopardus geoffroyi (Geoffroy's cat) is the source of this 741-nucleotide long non-coding RNA. RefSeq lists it as uncharacterized. The transcript is spliced from 4 exons. The record is from RefSeq and is a predicted model, not a curated record. Lineage: Eukaryota; Metazoa; Chordata; Mammalia; Carnivora; Felidae.